Molecule: long non-coding RNA, 398 nt
Filed under: Pan troglodytes (chimpanzee)
Lineage: Eukaryota; Metazoa; Chordata; Mammalia; Primates; Hominidae
Description: long non-coding RNA NONPTRT009490
Source: RNAcentral
GUGGGCUGAACCGGGUCGUCUGAAAGGAUGUUGAAAUCCUAAUGCCUUUGGAACUAGGGAAUUGGAUCAUGCAAUUAUGAGAGCUGGCAAGUCUGAAAUCUUCAGGGCAGGCCCAUUGGCUGGAGAGCCAGGGAAGAGUUGAUGUCUGAAGACGAUUGCCUGGCAGAAUUCCGUCUUCCUCCAGGGACCUCCAUCUUUUCUCUUAUGACCUUCAAUGGAUUGAAUGAGGCCCACUCUGAUUAUGGAGGGUAAUUUGCUUUACUCAAAGCCUGUUGACUUAAAUGUUAAUCCCAUCUAAAACAUAUCUUCACAGUAACGUCUAGACUGGUGUUUGACCUAACAACUGGUCACCACGGCCUAGCCAAGUUGACAUAUAAAAUCAACCAUUGCAACCAGUA